AAUUUUUUGGCGUAAACACUAUUUUUUUUUUCUUUUUUGGUCUUUUUGCCUUUUCUAGGGCCACUCCCGCCGCAUAUGGAGGUUCCCAGGCUAGGGGUCGAAUCGCAGCUGUAGCCACCGGCCUACGCCACAGCCACAGCAAUGGUGGAUCCAAGCCGCAUCUGCAACCUACACCACAGCUCACGGCAACGUCGGAUCCCUAACCCACUGAGCAAGGCCAGGGAUCGAACCCCCAACCUCAUGGUUCCUAGUUGGGUUCGUUAACCACUGCGCCACGACGGGAACUGCUGGAGUCAACACUGCUAAAACUCGCUUGGGGAAGAAAAAGAAGUGUGAGGCUCAAAUGCUUGUCUCAACAGAAUCAACUUCUACAGUAAAAUGCACAUUUCCAAAGGGAAAUACCUGAGCCAAACUAAACUGACAAGGCGUGUUUGCGUAAAUGUAAAAGGAACAUUUUCAUGGUCUAUUUUUAACUUUUGAUGCACAAUCAACUGCUAAAGGCUAUUUUGGGUGGUCGGAACUGUGGCUUUGAAGACCCUGUAUUUUGCUUUAUCAGCCAGAUCUGAAAAGAGAAGCUGCGUUAUCGUCAGAUGCUGGAUGAAUGGGUUUUGCUCAUUGAUGAGAUUAUGCUAUGGUGAUUUUACAAGCAUAAGUGGAAGGAGGCCAGGGACACAGGCUGCUGAAGUGGCCUAGAAAAGUCAGGAAGCAGUCGUGCAGAUUGUGGGGAAGCCCAGGACGAGAAGACUGUCUGGCCUCGGGGCUGGAACUCAGAAAAUGUCCAGCGCUCAUAGCCUUCAGAAAGACAGGUGAUAGGAAGCCCUGGAGUUCAAGGCGAAGCUGCUCGGAGGGGGAAGGGCAGAAAGAAAGUCACCAGAAGGCAGUCAAAAGGUCAAAAGUGGUGGUGUCUUCACAGCCUUUCAGAGUCAAAAGGGUCGAAGAUGGAACGCAGGUAUUCACGCAACAAAGAAGGACUGAGGCUUGUCAACCUCUCCGGCAGAACCUCAUCGACGUAUUAGGCACCCAUUCGCACUGGGCACUGGGGACAAAUCGGUGACAAGGGACGUUAUCAUGGAGCGUCCAAGUCUCGUGGGAGAGGCAAAUCAUCAGAU
Molecule: long non-coding RNA, 1109 nt
Filed under: Sus scrofa (pig)
Lineage: Eukaryota; Metazoa; Chordata; Mammalia; Artiodactyla; Suidae
Description: lncRNA (ENSSSCG00030037044.1)
Source: RNAcentral